AAAACCUAAGAAAUCCAAAAGAUCGAAUGGGGAGAUUCACCGUCAGCGUGUCGGCUCGCUUGCGGAUGGCGAUGGCUCGUCGGGUCUCGGCUCGGCGUCACGCCUUCGCUCGUCGUGUCCGAUUAUCGUCGAUGUGCACUUCUCCCCUAGUAGAACGUCGCGACCCGUUGGGUGUCGGCCUACGGUACGGCAAGGUAGCCUGUCGCGUCGCGUUCACGCGCGCACACGGCAGACCGUCGUCACCCGGCCGGCUGCCCGGCGGUAUAAGUCAUCGUACCGAUUGACAAUGGUAACGGGCCGCACUCCAUCGAUCGUCGCUCGCGGCGGUCGUGCUCAGUGCGUUCAGGCUCGUCGGCAGGUCCCUCGUGCACGGAUUUACGAACCUAGUCUUCGUAGCCGGGCGCGCGUAGGCCGCUAGUCGACGAUGUCCUCGG
Molecule: ribosomal RNA, 434 nt
Filed under: Pegoscapus franki
Lineage: Eukaryota; Metazoa; Arthropoda; Insecta; Hymenoptera; Agaonidae
Description: eukaryotic LSU rRNA
Source: RNAcentral